Molecule: long non-coding RNA, 1917 nt
Organism: Gallus gallus (chicken)
Lineage: Eukaryota; Metazoa; Chordata; Aves; Galliformes; Phasianidae
Exons: 2
Source: RefSeq, a predicted model, not a curated record
GGCCCCAGUGGAUAGGGGAAUCGUGUGGUGCAGUCUGUGUGUGUCCUGUCCGUCUUCCCGGGAGCUUCCUGCCCCACGGCUUGGGCCUCGUCCCAGCUGUGAGGUGCUCUUUGCUGGCUUCCUUUGAAGCCUGGCUUGGGAAGUCAAAGGAGGGAGGGAGCCUGUGCCCUUUUCCGUGCUGAGGUGGGAGGAGAGGAAGCUCCUGAGGAGGACAGAGGGGAGCUGCCUUAACCAUUCCGGCAUGUUUUCCCGAAAGCACGGUUCUCCUGUUGGAACCGACGGAGGGCAGGUCACUUCAAGCCCCCUACAGAGGAAGACCAGACCCAAGACUCCCAGUGGUUGUCCUGGCUGCUGUCAUUUUCCAGUUGUACUACUUGACAGGGAACAAGUGAAAAUCUCAGUACAGCAGCAGGUGUCAUUUACCUCAGCUACCCAUCUCCCCUGCUCCCCCAGGCAGCUAAAAACUUGCCAGCCAUUUCAAGGAAGCAUUUGAUACCAACACACCUCUCUGCUGUGCCCUGGCUCUUUGGAUCAGUCCAGCGAGAAUGGCAAGAACCAGGCAGAGAAGGGCCCCCAGGAUGAUGCAGAGGAUGACGGGCACUGAAACUCUCUUGUUGUUUGUCACUGAGCGGCGGGGUGAAGCUAAAUGGAAACAAAGAGGUAACACGAAGAGAAGGACCCAGUAGCCCAAAGGCUGCUCCUCUGAAGCCUCCUCGUGUGCUCAUGGUAGCAGAGUGAGGUAGGUCGCCUGCUGCAUAAUUUCUGCUCAAGGAAAAAGAAUUCAGCAGCUAGAAAUAGUGCCACUCAGCUCUCCUUUACAAAAGGCUGUGGGAGAUGCCUUCUGAUGAGCUGGAAUAUCACAGAAUUACAGAACUGCAGGGGUUGGAAGGGACCUCAAGAGAUCACUGAGUCCAACCCCCCUGCUAAAGCAGGUUGAUAUACCUCUGAUUUACCUGUUAUGCAGUAUCAGUGGCAAUAAAAGUUCCUAAUUUGAUGAGAGGAAGAAAGGGUGAAGAAGGAAUGUUUUACCUGCUCUGGUGGAAGAUGUUGUUGUUUCUGUCACACCUACAAAAUGAACGUGAGUCCAGAUUAAGGAAGAGGUAACUGAAAAGUAGUAAGAAUAUAUUCAUAUCAUUUGUGAGGUUCCUUCAGUCCGAAUUAUGAAAAGGCUAAUCACUGGGAUGGACAGAUGGCAUAAUAUUCCUCUAUCCACCUUCCUCCCCAGUUUGUGUGAUGAACCAAAGGACCAUUUUACUAACCUGAGCAAUCCACGGCAGCAUCCUCCUUGUGAUUACAGUUUUUACCAAACAAGGGCUUGGAAGGACAGUCCCAAAGUGACAGUUCUGUUCCUUUACAGUGGACCUUCUCCAACCAGAUGGGACCUGUCCCUUCCCCAAAGGCAGCUUCACUCAGAGCAGACACAGCAGAACCACAGCCCAGUUGCCUGCAUACAACAUUAGCAUCUGCCAGAUCCCAGGAAUCAUCACAGAUUGUUCCCCAGGAACCCUGAUUCCAAAUCUCCACUCUUCCUGAGCACGCAUCCUCUCCUCCUACAACACGUAACUUCUCCCUGUCUGCAGAAUAAUAAUAAAAAAAAAUCUGUAUUGCCUGAAUAGCUGUAAGGUCCAUAGUGACUAAUAAGGAAAAACAAAGGGGUGGAAGUACCUGAGCAACUUGAAGAGUUUGGACACUCAGUAAAUGUAGUUGGAGUCACCGCUCCUUUUCUUCCUGCAGAAAUUAAAUACUGAGUUAAAUAACUAGAUUAUUCUCUGGAAAGAGCGAAGGAGUAUAAACUACCUGAGCAAUAAUCAGCAAGUGCAUUUUUCCUAUAAUAAAUUUGUAACCUAUUUAGUAGAUGUAGUAGUUGGUGUUUAGUAGUGUUUGGCUAUUAUUGUAUAUUAAAAAAUCUUCUUGAAA